RNAcentral lists this microRNA precursor (96 nucleotides) under Saimiri boliviensis boliviensis (Bolivian squirrel monkey). RNAcentral's name for it is "miRNA (ENSSBOG00000006037.1)". Lineage: Eukaryota; Metazoa; Chordata; Mammalia; Primates; Cebidae. The record is from RNAcentral.
UGAGGCAGGAGAAUUGCUUGAACCCAGGAGGGGGAGGUUGCAGUGAGCCGAGAUCGUGCCACUGCACUCCAGCCUGGGUGACAGAGCAAGAUUCCA